UACGAAGGGUGCAAGCGUUACUCGGAAUCACUGGGCGUAAAGCGUGCGUAGGCGGUUCGUUAAGUCUGUUGUGAAAGCCCUGGGCUCAACCUGGGAACUGCAGUGGAUACUGGCGAGCUAGAGUACGGUAGAGGAAGGUGGAAUUCCCGGUGUAGCGGUGAAAUGCGUAGAGAUCGGGAGGAACACCAGUGGCGAAGGCGGCCUUCUGGACCAGUACUGACGCUGGGGCACGAAAGCGUGGGGAGCAAACAGG
Molecule: ribosomal RNA, 253 nt
Filed under: uncultured bacterium
Lineage: Bacteria
Description: partial 16S ribosomal RNA
Rfam family: Bacterial small subunit ribosomal RNA
Source: RNAcentral